This 333-nucleotide ribosomal RNA is filed under the name uncultured bacterium. Its description in RNAcentral is "bacterial SSU rRNA". It matches the Rfam family "Bacterial small subunit ribosomal RNA", at positions 568 to 899 of the family's 1533-position model. The record is from RNAcentral.
UGCGUAGGCGGGUUCGUAAGUCGAGGUUGAAAUAUCCGGGCUCAACUCGGGGCACGGCCUCGAUACUGCGGAUCUCGAGUCGAGAAGAGGGUAGUGGAAUUCCCGGUGUAGCGGUGAAAUGCGUAGAUAUCGGGAAGAACACCAGUGGCGAAGGCGGCUACCUGGUCUUGUACUAACGCUGAUGCACGAAAGCUGGGGGAGCGAACGGGAUUAGAUACCCCGGUAGUCCCAGCCGUAAACGAUGGAUGCUAGGUGUUGUGGGUAUCGACCCCCGCAGUGCCGCAGUUAACACAAUAAGCAUCCCGCCUGGGGAGUACGGCCGCAAGGCUAAAA